GAUCAUGGCUCAGGAUGAACGCUAGCGACAGGCCUAACACAUGCAAGUCGAGGGGCAGCGAAGAGGUAGCAAUACCUUCGUCGGCGACCGGCGCACGGGUGAGUAACACGUAUGCAAUCCACCUGUAACAGGGGGAUAACCCGGAGAAAUCCGGACUAAUACUCCAUAAUAUGGGCGCUCCGCAUGGAGAGCCCAUUAAAGAGAGCAAUUUUGGUUACAGACGAGCAUGCGCU
This 233-nucleotide ribosomal RNA is filed under the name uncultured bacterium. Its description in RNAcentral is "partial 16S ribosomal RNA". It matches the Rfam family "Bacterial small subunit ribosomal RNA", at positions 15 to 237 of the family's 1533-position model. The record is from RNAcentral.